UACGAAGGGGGCUAGCGUUGCCCGGAAUCACUGGGCGUAAAGCGUGCGUAGGCGGUUUCUUAAGUCUGUCGUGAAAGCCCUGGGCUCAACCUGGGAAUGGCGAUGGAUACUGGGAGGCUAGAGUGUGAUAGAGGAUGGUGGAAUUCCCGGUGUAGCGGUGAAAUGCGUAGAGAUCGGGAGGAACACCAGUGGCGAAGGCGGCCAUCUGGAUCAACACUGACGCUGAGGCACGAAAGCGUGGGGAGCAAACAGG
Molecule: ribosomal RNA, 253 nt
Filed under: uncultured bacterium
Lineage: Bacteria
Description: partial 16S ribosomal RNA
Rfam family: Bacterial small subunit ribosomal RNA
Source: RNAcentral